UCGACUUUAGUACUAUUAUGGACCGAAACCAUCUUCCAGGUCUGUAAUUAGUAAUAGCAGAAGAUAAAUUGGAGUUGGAAAUAAUUAUAGAUUCAUAUCUUCUACCAGUUGCUCACCCUCCUUCCACCACCGCCGCUGCCGCCCCUUUCUCGACUGCCGGAGCGCUGCUGCUGUUGGUCUUUUCUCUCAUCGCGGCCGCAAUUCACAACACCAUUUUCUUGUUUCUUGCACCUACUGGACUUGCAAACCUGAGUUUUGGAUCUAAAUGGCGGAGAGGAUAGCAGAGACAAAGCGUCGGUGAAUAAGCAUAUUCCCGUGAUGACAAUGGCGCCGGCGAUGGUGAUGAUUUGUAGGAGUAGGCGGCUGAUUUGGG
This 373-nucleotide long non-coding RNA is filed under the name Erythranthe guttata (spotted monkey flower). RNAcentral's name for it is "long non-coding RNA (EGUT_LNC002550)". The record is from RNAcentral. Lineage: Eukaryota; Viridiplantae; Streptophyta; Magnoliopsida; Lamiales; Phrymaceae.